Gadus chalcogrammus (walleye pollock) is the source of this 5380-nucleotide long non-coding RNA. RefSeq lists it as uncharacterized. NCBI's taxonomy places the organism in Eukaryota, Metazoa, Chordata, Actinopteri, Gadiformes, Gadidae. The transcript has 12 exons. The record is from RefSeq and is a predicted model, not a curated record.
GUUGGAGUUGGAAGAGGAGCUAGAGAAGCUAGGGCUAGCAAAGGACAGGCAGGAUCUGUGUGAUCGCCUGGAAGCACGGAACGCCCUGAGAGAGACAGACAGGUGGAAGGUGUUGGACGACUGGAGCAUAUAGGAGGUCGAGCAUGGAUAUUUAACUGCAGUUCUGUGAGUAUCCCACCUUAACCAUGAAGAUGAACUGCAAACUGUAAGUCAUUAGUUUCUCAUUACUCUUGGGCACAUUGUAUUUUGGCUUCCUGGUGAGUUAACCCGUUACCUGAAGGUUGAUCUGUGUAGUAAAGAUGUUUUAUUGGUUCAUGGGUUAUUUAGGUGUUUGGUUUAUGUUGGUUUUAAUGAUUUGUUAAAAUGGUUACAGGCUCCAAGUUAUUGUUGUAAGAUUGAGUAAUGGGUUAGGUUCUGAUAUCUUCAGUCUUCUUUCCAGUUACUCUCCUGAGCUCUGCAUCUUCAUCACAAGAGUGUUGCUUUACUGAUGAGCGUGUGGUCUGAGUGAGCAGAGGUGCAUACUGGGAUACAGAGCUGUCUGAAGUCUACAGGUCUGUAGACGCGCCCCCUCAGGGGAAACCGAGCGUUUGAGAAACCGUCGUGACGGCAGUGACAUGGACUGGAAUGUUCUUAAAGAUGGAGACAGGGAUUCAGAAGGAGAAACACCAGGGGGAGAUGAGGGGGCUCCUCAUCUCAACGAUUAAAACACAACUUCAAUCUGACACAGAGAACCAUGGAACACAUUCAACAGUCCCCUCCAGGCAUCCUGACUCCUCAGGAGCAGUUUCAUUUCCAAGAAGGUCUUAUUUGGGGCCAUACCAAGAUGGAUCCUGCUCCUCAAGAGCCACCCCCCUCCACUGGGUGGUCUUCUGAACAGAUGACCUUCUUCCUGUCCUCAGGCUGACUAAAGCUGCACCGUUUGCAUAUGUGAAUGCCCCUCAUUCAGGAAACCACUGGACUACAAAGACAUGAAUCAACCUGGGACAUAUUUUGGAGAGCAUAAUCCAUCACCAAUGUGGGACGCCACUGAAGAAUGUUGUACAUCAUUUACGUCUCUGGAGACAUUGGUUGUUCUGUUCUGGGUGCCCUGGCAGGAGAGCUGGGGUUGGAUGAUGGAAUAUUAUUUGGCAUGAGGUUUUUACCCUGCAUGAUUGUUUGGCCUUUUGUGGCUCAGUGGUGUGUGGGUUUGGGUUUGACAUGAGAUGGAUGAUUUUUGAGCAUCGCUAGGGUUCUACUGUGUGUGUCUCCCACUCACACCUGGCAUGGGGUUCUACGUGCCUGUCCUGGGUUCUGUGUGUGUGUGUGUGUGUGUCCGGCUUGCUUUGACAGUUAUAAGGUUCAUACGGGGGUCUGUGUGAUUGGCUUGGGAUAUUGGAAUGGUCGACUAAAUCAUACCUGAUGGACGGCCACAUGUUUACUUGAGGGCCUCCAGUAGACAUGAAGACCCCAGAGGGACGCUGCGGAGCGAUGUCCAACACACUGGGCAGGAAGGAGAGUAUCCAACUCAAGUGUAAAAGGAUGCAAGCGACGUGUUCAGAUCAGUGACUUCAAACUAGGACUACACCAAUCAGGAUCAAUGGAGGAUGGACACCUAAAGGCAUUCCACAAGGAGAGUCUGAUGUUGGAAAGGGUCCUCAAUGGAUAUUCAAGAUGUCCUUCAGACCUGCAAGGAGACGGCUCUUCCUACCUGGCUGGAUUGAUGGAGAGCCCUGUGGAUCUUGUCUUGCUCUCAGUUGCAUGUCUGCUCAGGCUGAACUGUAUUUGUUUCGGACAGGACCAGCUGAACGAUUGGUUCCCUUAAAUCAGAACCAAUCCGGGAACUCCAACUAGUGCGCUCUUCAAGCUGAAGUUGUGCUCUUCAGCUGAGGCGGUAAGGAAACCUUCACUGGGGCUUCAAGGUGUAAAGAGGAGAAUGUUUCAAAGUGUUCCAUGGUACUCUGAAGAGGAACGUUGUUGUGUUCCACUGGCUGAGAGGAAGAACCCUCACAUCUUCCUCUUGGCCUUUCUCCUCUGAGAAUCCUGGCGCCAUCUUGAAGGAUUUUCAAGCUCAUGUAACUGAUGUCACGACAGAUUCUCAAGCACUUGGUUUCUCCUGAGGGGCGUGUCUAUAGAACUGAAGACUUCAGACAGCACUGUAUCCCAGCAUGCAUCUCUCCUCACUCAGACCACACUCCCGUGAGUAGGAUGCAACACUAGUGAUGGAGAUGUAGAGUUUUAUAAGUAACGAGGGAGUAGACAGAGGUGAUUAGAACACAAUGGCAUGUCAAGUCUUUAAACCAUGAAGAUGGUUGGAUAGUUCAGGAAUUGGGCUUCUUUUUAUUAUAGGCAGUCCUUUCACUCGGAUGCCCACUUCUCACUGGACCUGUACAUUUGUUGGCUGGCUGGCAUGAUUUGCUGUUGGUGAUGAGUCGGUCAGGGUGACGUUGCAGGGCUAUGGUCGGCUCUCUGUGAGCUCAACGUUUAUAUUUGCUUUGUAUGGUUUGUAUCCUGAAUAAUCUAGAUAAUUUUAAAAUGUAGGCACAGUUUUGUAUUGAAUGAUUCCAGGAUUUUAGGUUUAAAGUUGUUGUGGGACGUACAUGGUAGUUUGGUUCUUCGUACGGUUUUGAGUGAUAUAACUUGUACACACUGGGUGCAUUAUAAUGUAAAGGUAUACUGUAUAGUAGUAAUUACCAACAGCAACAAACGGAUCUCCUCAAGGUAAGUCUGUUGGCUGUGUUGUAAUGAAGACCAUCUCUGGACUUCAGGAUCUUCCUCCGUUCAGCUCAAGGUGAGGCGCUGGUUCUGUUUUUUCUUUGGUUGGUGCCGGCUGGAAUGUUCGGAUUCCAGUCGGACGGUUUGUGCUUCCCGCCGUGGAAGGUUCUGAGUGUGGUAACCUGAUUUAGUCCUAAUGGUUAGCAUAGAAUGUUGUAGUCUUGACAACCAUAAGAAACCACCUGGCAGUUAGUUGGACGGGAGUCCCCUGAGGGAAUCUGGCGCAACGUUCUGGAUUGUAUUUGCGUAACCUCGAGCCGUUGCCAACGGAAACUAUUUUCCAUUGUUUCCAUUGGGAAUUGUUGACCCUUAUCUUAAACAACUUAGUUUGAUAUUAAAUACAUACUGACGCGUACGUCGUACAAUAUGUGGAUAAUUUCCAAUGGUUGCGCCGUAGUUUUAACGACGUUGACGUGACGGGACUCACGCUGCGUACAAAACGGCGUUCUACUUGCGGGCCCAAUUUUGACAUCAGUGAAGGCUGGAAAUCAUUUCAAGGUGGAAGACAAUUUGACAUUUCUUCAACGGAACCCAGCACCUAAAUAUGGCUGAGUAUAUUUGAUUUAAUAUCGAUACUGCUUGGUGUUCUUUGUUACUUCAGCUUUUGUACGUUCUAAAUAUUUGCUGUCAUUAAUUGCCACAGAAGUUAAACCCUACCCAAUGGAAUGACGUUAAACAACGACUUUGGUGCAGAGUUUACCAACUGGAUAAUAUCAAAGCUAAUAUAAUGGCCGUCCUUCCCACAUGUUACAGUAGAAGAUACUCUAGAACUGUACAAGGUUAAAAAAUGAACCUGUAGUUUGUCCCAAGGUGUCUGCCUCCUCACCCAGAGCAAGAGCUCCACCUCCUCACCCAGAGCCAGACCUCCACCUCCUGUCAGAAGUCCUCCAGAUCAGCUGAAAGGUGAGGCUGAGAGGCUGGGGACCGGAGGCUUGUGGUGCCAGGAUGGACCGGAGACUGAGGCUGGAGACCAGGGGCCUGCAGCACCGGACCAGAGGACCAGGAAUCCAUGGCUGAAGGAGCUGAUGGAGGAGCCGAGCUGGUGGAGGAGUCGUGCUGAAGGCCCUGCCUGGUGGAGGAGCUGGUGGAGGCCCUGCCUGGUGAAGGAUGUCUGUCGUGGGACCAGGACUCUGUCUGAGGAGAGCUGCUGGAGGAGCUGAGACGCUGGAGGACGACUAGGAAUCGACCGACAAGGAUUCCUCUUAAGUUUUUAUUUACUUACAUGGUUGACCUAACGGGAAAAAUACAGCUGUUACUUUGACAUGGGUUGACCAACUACCGCUGUGUUUUCUUACUAGAACGUGUUUCUGGAGCGGAGGCGAGCUGGUAGGGGAGCCGUGAAUCUGGAGGAUGACAUCACUCUACCAACAAGGAUUGUAAACCAGGACUCUGGCUGAGGAGAGCUGAUGGACGAGCCAAGACUCUGGAGGACGACAUCACUCUACCAACAAGGAUCCUCACCAGGAAUCUGGAGGACUGAUAGAGAAGCCGUACACCUGGAAGGCAAAUCCUGAGGACAACCAGGACUCUACCAUCAAGGACUCCUCACACACCUGAGCUGAACCUCACCUGAUCCUGUUUGGUCCGGGCAGACACACCUGAGCUGAACCCUACCUGAUCCUGUUUGGUCGGGGGUAGACACACCUGAGCUGAACCCUCCUUGAUCCUGACAUCCUGCUGGUCCCGUCACCUCGGUUCAUCUCCGCCUCGCCUCCAGAAGACCUGCUGAGCUCAGCAGUCUGAGGCUGAUGGAUCAAUGACCUCCAGUGGGAGUGAUCUUCUUGACCCCACAUACCAGGAAUCCAUGGCUGAAGGAGCUGAUGGAGGAGCCGUGCUGAAGGAGCUGAUGGAGGUGUCGUGCUGAAGGCCCUGCCUGGUGGAGGAGCUGGUGGAGGCCCUGCCUGGUGAAGGACGUCUGUCGUGGGAACGUGUUUCUGGAGCGGAGGCGAGCUGGUAGGGGAGCCGUGAAUCUGGAGGAUGACCAUCACUCUACCAACAAGGAUUACCAGGAAUCUGGAGGCCUGAUGGAGAAGCCGUACACCUGGAAGGCAAAUCCUGAGGACAACCAGGACUCUACCAUCAAGGACUCCUCACACACCUGAGCUGAACCCUACCUGAUCCUGUUUGGUCGGGGGUAGACACACCUGAGCUGAACCCGCCCUGAUCCUGACAUCCUGCUGGUCCCGUCUCCUCAGUUCAUCUGAGCCUCGUCCUCCAGAAGACCUGCUGAGCUCAGCAGUCUGAGACUGAUGGAUCAAUGACCUCCAGUGGGAGUGAUCUUCUUCACCCCACAUGUAACCGUGUGCUUCCACACGCCUUUCCCUUACGUCUGUCACUAACCUCACUACUUCACUACUCUCUACUGCUUCCUCUUCUUCUUCCUUCUCUGUGGUUCGAACCUUUACACUGAAGGCGCGUCUUCUCCCCUGAGAGGGUUCAGCGUUAGGGUUGAGAGUCAGGGUUUAGAGUCAGGGACAGACCUGGUCAGGGAGGACUGCUUUUACACAAACCUCUUCACUUGCUUUCGGAAUGGUGGUGACAUUUUGAAAAGAUUCAUUUGGGAGAAUGUUUUACUCUGCUUUCCCUUACAAAAUUGUAUUAAACUUCUGUCAAGUGUUUUUGUUAUUAA